UAUGAAAUCAAAGGAUGAAGAAGAUCGUGCCCAGAGCUCUCCUUGGGGGUGGAUGACAGAAUGAACAUUUACUCUGGGCUCACUGGAAAAGCUCCAACGUCUUGGAAAUUGAGUGGGUAUAAGGAAUGCACAAAUUAGUUUUCCUGUGACAGCAUGCAGAGCACUUUUCCAAGGAGAAUGGCCCGGGAGCAGCUCAGUCCAUGCUUGUCAACCACCCACCUCCAUAUACUCCAGCCCUGGUCCACAUCCCCCAAGGCUCCUUUUGUAGGAUUCCUCAACAGCACAAAUGCACCAACUGUCACUCUAUGUUCUCCUAGACCUACAGGAGGAGUGUGCAGGUGAUAAUCCAGAGGAGGAAGUGUCAUCUAUCAAGGUGGAGUUCACAGCCAAAAAACACCGUACGUAUUCUAAGAGCACUCCCUUGCUGACAACAAAUCUAAGUGAUGAGAAAGGAGGAACUCUCUUGCCUGCUUUUGUCUGGAGACCCUUCCUGGCUUCAGCUUCCUGAUAGGAGUGAGGAUCUGGGGUGUGGUGUGAGAAACAGAAGUCCCAAUAAAGAACUAUGACCAUCCACUAUAGUCUCUGGAAACAGCCAUAUCAU
Long non-coding RNA from Homo sapiens (human), 601 nucleotides. The record is from Ensembl. Lineage: Eukaryota; Metazoa; Chordata; Mammalia; Primates; Hominidae.